RNAcentral lists this ribosomal RNA (1434 nucleotides) under metagenome. Its description in RNAcentral is "bacterial SSU rRNA". It matches the Rfam family "Bacterial small subunit ribosomal RNA". The record is from RNAcentral.
AGUCAUUUAAACUUCGGUUUAGGUGGCGGGCGAGUGGCGCACGGGUGCGUAACACGUAGGAAAUCUACCUUUAGGCGGGGAAUAACCAUUGGAAACGAUGGCUAAUACCGCAUAUUUUUUUGUAUCGCAUGGUAUAAAAAUGAAAGUCUUCGGGAGCCUAAAGAUGAUCCUGCGGUGGAUUAGCUAGUUGGUGAGAUAACAGCUCACCAAGGCGACGAUCCAUAGCUGGUCUGAGAGGAUGAUCAGCCACACUGGCACUGAGACACGGGCCAGACUCCUACGGGAGGCAGCAGUGAGGAAUAUUGGACAAUGGGCGAAAGCCUGAUCCAGCCACGCCGCGUGGAGGACGACACCCCUAUGGGGCGUAAACUCCUUUUUUACAAGAAGGACAACCCGGUCGCCGGGUCUGACGGUAUUGUAAGAAUAAGCACCGGCUAACUCCGUGCCAGCAGCCGCGGUAAUACGGAGGGUGCAAGCGUUGUCCGGAAUUAUUGGGUGUAAAGGGUGCGCAGGUGGAAUACUAAGUCGGUGGUGAAAGCCUACAGCUCAACUGUAGAAUUGCCUUCGAUACUGGUAUUCUUGAGUCCCGGAGAGGUCAUCGGAAUUCGUGGUGUAGCGGUGAAAUGCGUAGAUAUCACGAGGAACACCAGAAGCGUAGGCGGGUGACUGGACGGGUACUGACACUCAGGCACGAAAGCGUGGGGAGCAAACAGGAUUAGAUACCCUGGUAGUCCACGCUGUAAACGAUGGAUACUCGGCGUUGUCUCCUUGAGGGACAGUGCCUAAGCUAACGCGUUAAGUAUCCCACCUGGGGAGUACGAUCGCAAGGUUGAAACUCAAAGGAAUUGACGGGGGCCCGCACAAGCGGUGGAGCAUGUGGCUUAAUUCGAUGCAACGCGAGGAACCUUAUCCUGGAUUCAACGCUACCGGACCGCUGCCGAAAGGUAGCUUUCCUUAUGGACCGGUAGCGCGGUGCUGCAUGGCUGUCGUCAGCUCGUGUCGUGAGAUGUUGGGUUAAGUCCCGCAACGAGCGCAACCCCUAUCGUUAGUUACCAGCGGAUAAUGCCGGGGACUCUAACGAGACUGCCUGCGCAAGCAGUGAGGAAGGUGGGGAUGACGUCAAGUCCUCAUGGCCUUUAUGUCCAGGGCUGCACACGUGCUACAAUGGAUGGUACAACGGGUUGCUACCCCGCGAGGGGGCGCUAAUCCCUCAAACCCAUCCUCAGUUCGGAUUGGAGUCUGCAACUCGACUCCAUGAAGUUGGAAUCGCUAGUAAUCGCGUAUCAGAAUGACGCGGUGAAUACGUUCCCGGGCCUUGUACACACCGCCCGUCAAGCCAUGGAAGCUGGGGGUGCCCGAAGUCCGUGACCCAACCCUUUGGGAGGGAGCGGCCGAAGGUAAAACCAGUGACUGGGGCUAAGUCGGAACAAGGUA